GAUGAACGCUGGCGGCGUGCCUAAUACAUGCAAGUCGAGCGAACGGACGAGAAGCUUGCUUCUCUGAUGUUAGCGGCGGACGGGUGAGUAACACGUGGAUAACCUACCUAUAAGACUGGGAUAACUUCGGGAAACCGGAGCUAAUACCGGAUAAUAUUUUGAACCGCAUGGUUCAAAAGUGAAAGACGGUCUUGCUGUCACUUAUAGAUGGAUCCGCGCUGCAUUAGCUAGUUGGUAAGGUAACGGCUUACCAAGGCAACGAUGCAUAGCCGACCUGAGAGGGUGAUCGGCCACACUGGAACUGAGACACGGUCCAGACUCCUACGGGAGGCAGCAGUAGGGAAUCUUCCGCAAUGGGCGAAAGCCUGACGGAGCAACGCCGCGUGAGUGAUGAAGGUCUUCGGAUCGUAAAACUCUGUUAUUAGGGAAGAACAUAUGUGUAAGUAACUGUGCACAUCUUGACGGUACCUAUUCGGAAAGCCACGGCUAACUACGUGCCAGCAGCCGCGGUAAUACGUAGGUGGCAAGCGUUAUCCGGAAUUAUUGGGCGUAAAGCGCGCGUAGGCGGUUUUUUAAGUCUGAUGUGAAAGCCCACGGCUCAACCGUGGAGGGUCAUUGGAAACUGGAAAACUUGAGUGCAGAAGAGGAAAGUGGAAUUCCAUGUGUAGCGGUGAAAUGCGCAGAGAUAUGGAGGAACACCAGUGGCGAAGGCGACUUUCUGGUCUGUAACUGGCGCUGAUGUGCGAAAGCGUGGGGAUCAAACAGGAUUAGAUACCCUGGUAGUCCACGCCGUAAACGAUGAGUGCUAAGUGUUAGGGGGUUUCCGCCCCUUAGUGCUGCAGCUAACGCAUUAAGCACUCCGCCUGGGGAGUACGACCGCAAGGUUGAAACUCAAAGGAAUUGACGGGGACCCGCACAAGCGGUGGAGCAUGUGGUUUAAUUCGAAGCAACGCGAAGAACCUUACCAAAUCUUGACAUCCUUUGACAACUCUAGAGAUAGAGCCUUCCCCUUCGGGGGACAAAGUGACAGGUGGUGCAUGGUUGUCGUCAGCUCGUGUCGUGAGAUGUUGGGUUAAGUCCCGCAACGAGCGCAACCCUUAAGCUUAGUUGCCAUCAUUAAGUUGGGCACUCUAAGUUGACUGCCGGUGACAAACCGGAGGAAGGUGGGGAUGACGUCAAAUCAUCAUGCCCCUUAUGAUUUGGGCUACACACGUGCUACAAUGGACAAUACAAAGGGCAGCGAAACCGCGAGGUCAAGCAAAUCCCAUAAAGUUGUUCUCAGUUCGGAUUGUAGUCUGCAACUCGACUACAUGAAGCUGGAAUCGCUAGUAAUCGUAGAUCAGCAUGCUACGGUGAAUACGUUCCCGGGUCU
RNAcentral lists this ribosomal RNA (1372 nucleotides) under uncultured bacterium. RNAcentral's name for it is "bacterial SSU rRNA". It matches the Rfam family "Bacterial small subunit ribosomal RNA", at positions 28 to 1381 of the family's 1533-position model. The record is from RNAcentral.